RNAcentral lists this transfer RNA (72 nucleotides) under Siphoviridae sp. ctbbV81. RNAcentral describes it as "tRNA-Ile". It matches the Rfam family "tRNA". Rfam says of the family: Transfer RNA (tRNA) molecules are approximately 80 nucleotides in length. Their secondary structure includes four short double-helical elements and three loops (D, anti-codon, and T loops). Lineage: Duplodnaviria; Heunggongvirae; Uroviricota; Caudoviricetes. The record is from RNAcentral.
UGGAAUGUAGCUCAGUGGUAGAGUAGCGGCCUUAUAAGCUGUGUGUCACAAGUUCGAUUCUUGUCUUUCCGA